RNAcentral lists this ribosomal RNA (1958 nucleotides) under human gut metagenome. RNAcentral's name for it is "bacterial LSU rRNA". It matches the Rfam family "Bacterial large subunit ribosomal RNA", at positions 1 to 1983 of the family's 2925-position model. The record is from RNAcentral.
GAAAGUAAGCAAGGGCAGACGGUGGAUGCCUUGGCUCUCGGAGGCGACGAAGGACGUGAUAAGCUGCGAAAAGCUCGGGGGAGGCGCAAAUAGCCCUUGAUCCCGGGAUAUCCGAAUGGGGCAACCCGGCAGGCUGAAGGCCUGCCAUCCCGUAAGGGAGGCGAACGUGGGGAACUGAAACAUCUAAGUACCCAUAGGAGGAGAAAAUAAACAAUGAUUCCGUAAGUAGUGGCGAGCGAACACGGAAGAGCCCAAACCCAUGUCGUCUAGGCGACACGGGGGUUGUAGGACCACGACGUGGCAAGAUAGAGUCAAGUGGAACGCCUUGGAAAAGGCGACCGUAGAGGGUGAUAGUCCCGUACACGACUGACGAUUGAAGCCUAGUGGCAUCCUGAGUAGCGCGGGGCACGAGAAAUCUUGCGUGAAACUGCGGGGCCCAUCCCGUAAGGCUAAAUACUCCCGAGAGACCGAUAGCGAACCAGUACCGUGAGGGAAAGGUGAAAAGAACCCCGAGCAGGGGAGUGAAAUAGACCCUGAACCCGUCUGCCUACAAGCGGUCGGAGCGUUGUUAUGACGUGACGGCGUGCCUUUUGCAUAAUGAACCUACGAGUUACCUUCCCCGGCAAGGUUAAGUACCUAAGGUACGGAGCCGAAGCGAAAGCGAGUCUGAAGAGGGCGGCCAGUCGGGGGGGGUAGACGCGAAACCGAGUGAUCUACCCUUGGCCAGGUUGAAGGUUGGGUAACACCAACUGGAGGACCGGAUGGGUAAGCGUUGAAAAGCUUUCCAAUGAGCUGAGGGUAGGGGUGAAAGGCUAAUCAAACUCGGAGAUAGCUCGUACUCCCCGAAAUGCAUUUAGGUGCAGCCUCUUUAUAGUAUAUCGUGAGGUAGAGCGACUGAUUGGAUGCGAGGGCUUCACCGCCUAUCAAGUCCAGAUAAACUCCGAAUGCGCGAUAUAUAUUUAAAGGGAGUGAGGGCGCGGGUGCUAAGGUCCGUGUCCGAGAGGAGAAGAAUCCAGACCACCGGCUAAGGCCCCCAAAUGAUCGUUAAGUUGAACUAACGAGGUCGGAUCGCAGAGACAGCUAGGAUGUUGGCUUGGAAGCAGCCAUUCAUUUAAAGAGUGCGUAACAGCUCACUAGUCGAGCGAUCUGGCGUGGAUAAUAAUCGGGCAUAAACGAUCUGCCGAAGCCGUGGAUGUCGCAAGACAUGGUAGGGGAGCAUUCCAUGCGGCGUCGAAGAUGAGGGAUGACCCUUGUUGGAGCGCAUGGAAAAGCAAAUGUAGGUAUGAGUAACGAUAAGGGGGGCGAGAAACCCCCCCGCCGAAAGACCAAGGUUUCCUGAUCAACGCUAAUCGGAUCAGGGUGAGUCGGGACCUAAGGCUAAGCCGAACGGCGACGCCGAUGGAAGAAUGGGUUAAUAUUCCCAUACUGCCUCAUGGAGUGACGUGGAGACGGAGAAGUGACAGUCCUGCCGGCUGACGGAAUAGCCGGUUGAAGGGUGUAGAUAUUGAUUCCCGUAGGCAAAUCCGCGGGGAGAGUCGAACCUGAGAGUAUACGGAGCGCUUGCGCAACGUAAUAUGGACGUAACCAUGCUCCCAAGAAAAUCCGCUAAACUUAUCCAUGCGGCACCCGUACCGUAAACGGACACACGUGGUCGGGUUGAGAAUACUGAGGCGCUCGAGUGAUUCACGGUUAAGGAACUAGGCAAAUUGACCCUGUAACUUCGGGAUAAAGGGUCCUCGUCGUAAGGCGAGGCGCAGAGAAUAGGUCCAGGCAACUGUUUAACAAAAACACAUGGCUGUGCUAAAUGGAAACAUGAUGUAUACAGCCUGACACCUGCCCGGUGCUGGAAGGUUAAGAGGAGAUGUCAUCGCGAGAGAAGCGUUGAAUUGAAGCCCCAGUAAACGGCGGCCGUAACUAUAACGGUCCUAAGGUAGCGAAAUUCCUUGUCGGGUAAGUUC